GAUGAACGCUGGCGGCGUGCUUAACACAUGCAAGUCGAACGAAGACAUCUGAGUGCUUGCACUUGGAUGGACUGAGUGGCGGACGGGUGAGUAACGCGUGGGUAACCUGCCUUAUACAGGGGGAUAACAGUUGGAAACGACUGCUAAUACCGCAUAAGCGCACAGUAUCGCAUGAUACAGUGUGAAAAACUCCGGUGGUAUAAGAUGGACCCGCGUCUGAUUAGAUAGUUGGUGAGGUAACGGCCCACCAAGUCAACGAUCAGUAGCCGGCCUGAGAGGGUGAACGGCCACAUUGGGACUGAGACACGGCCCAAACUCCUACGGGAGGCAGCAGUGGGGAAUAUUGCACAAUGGGGGAAACCCUGAUGCAGCGACGCCGCGUGAGUGAAGAAGUAUUUCGGUAUGUAAAGCUCUAUCAGCAGGGAAGAAAAUGACGGUACCUGACUAAGAAGCCCCGGCUAACUACGUG
This 469-nucleotide ribosomal RNA is filed under the name uncultured bacterium. RNAcentral describes it as "bacterial SSU rRNA". It matches the Rfam family "Bacterial small subunit ribosomal RNA", at positions 28 to 507 of the family's 1533-position model. The record is from RNAcentral.